This is a long non-coding RNA of Macrobrachium nipponense, 544 nucleotides long. RefSeq lists it as uncharacterized. The transcript has 3 exons. The record is from RefSeq and is a predicted model, not a curated record. NCBI's taxonomy places the organism in Eukaryota, Metazoa, Arthropoda, Malacostraca, Decapoda, Palaemonidae.
UUGAAAGUAAACCAAACGCUUGGAGAGGUUACGCUGUCGGUUCGUCAUUUGUACCUAGUAAUGGGUGACGUUUUAGUUGAAGGUUGUUGGCCAUUAUGCUCUUCGGCAAGAGUGAUCUCUUGGUGCAUUGUUCGGCCUUGCAUAAAGUUGAGAUGACAACACUGCGUUGUAGGCACUUCGUUGGUAACUAUGUUCUUGAACUGAAUCAAUAGGUAGUAUUGGUCUUAACAUGUGGUUAACAAUGUUGGUAUAUAAAAAUUGGGCAGAACUUAUACCAGCACCAGAAGCACGUGAAUGCUGUGAGCGGCGAAACUUCGUAUUCAGUCUUCGACUUGGCUUCCUUGAUUUACUACUACUAAAGCGAAACGGUAAUUGAGUUUGUGACGGGAGCCUUGUAACGCAUCUCUUCUUACUGAAAUGGUGUUAUUACUUGCUUCCGUCGGGAUUUAGACUAUUCUAAAGACUAAACGAUUUAGCCACGGAAGUAGUUUUAGUAACUUAAUAAACUGACUGUAAUAAAGAAAAGUAAAAACCUCCUUUUCCA